AUUGAACGCUGGCGGCAGGCCUAACACAUGCAAGUCGAGCGAGCGGCGGACGGGGGAGUACUGUUUGGGUACUGCCCGAUAGAGGGGGAUAACUACUGGAAACGGUAGCUAAUACCGCAUACUAUCCGAUAACCUAUAUGGGAUUAGCUAGUAGAGGAGGUAAUGGCUCACCUAGGCGACGAUGCCUAGCUGGUCUAAGAGGAUGAUCCGCCACACUGCGACGGAGACACGGCCCAGACUCCUACGGAGGCAGCAGUGAGGAAUAUUGCACAAUGGGCGCAAGCCUGAUGCAGCCAUGCCGCGUGUAUGAAGAAGGCCCUAGGAUUGUAAAAUACUUUCAUUAGGGAGGCGUUACCUACAGAAGAAGCACCGGCUAACUCCGUGCCAGCAGCCGGGGUAAUAC
Molecule: ribosomal RNA, 403 nt
Filed under: uncultured bacterium
Lineage: Bacteria
Description: partial 16S ribosomal RNA
Rfam family: Bacterial small subunit ribosomal RNA
Source: RNAcentral